CAGAAUAAUAAAAAUAACAUUAUUCUAAUUUCAACUCCAUACAACUAUUUAACAUUCACAAUUUUAUUCAACAGCACACUUUAUUCCGAUACAUCUCUUGUUUGUGUGUGUAUGUGUGCAACACAGAUUCAAAUUUGCCGCCAAUUCCCGCCCACAACGGCGAAUGUGUCGUAGGUCGUAACAGUCGAAUGAGCAGCAAUGAUUUGGUCACGUGUUUUAGAAGUUUGAAUUUACAAACGGAUGUCAGAUGCGUCUCAACGCAGUCAACGGGUUUGCGCGGUAUUUUCGAUUCACUCUGAGUUUAGGUGAGCCAUCCUCGGAUAUCAUUGAGCUGCAUUGGCAUUUCGGAAUAAGGAAUAUGUUUUCUCCUGCGUUUCGAACGAAGGGUGGGAGCGUCUUCGGGGGAACAUCUCCCGGGUUCCUCCAUGUACGACGUGUGAUGGUGCUUCUCUCGUGGACGUUUCUCUGUGUCUUCAGGACAGAGUGAGAGAAAAGACAUUGCCCCGUCGAUCCACUGAUGAUGUUGGUCUGUUUACAGGUUAUGUGGAAAAGCCUGUGCUUGGUGGAGAUCUACUGCAGAUGACCACAGCAUCCCAGGUCCCAAGAGGGGACUGUUUUAGUCAUUUUCUACUGGGCAAACUGAAUUACUCCAGAUUAUAGAAAAACCUGUGCUUGUGGAUCUACAUCGGAUGACCAUGGCAACCCAGGUGUGGAAAUAGUAGACUGUUUUUAAUCUGAAAUCUGUGUAAUAUAAGAUGGACAAUUCUUCUGACACCAUAUGAAUGCAUACUGUCGUCUUGCAGAAGCUAGAUAAUUUUGAUUAUAAAGUUAUUGAAGUCCAUUGAGUGGAGAAAAGUCCUGAAAUGUUUCCUCAAUGAAAUGUUUUUAUUUUGCCAGUAAAACAUUUUAUUUGACACAAUUAUUUUAUUAAUUAUCAUAAUGUAGCUGUUUUUUCAUGGUUUGCUUGUAUUUCUACUGUCCAGUUAACAUUAAAUACUGGUUACAAUUGACUAAAAUGACUGUUCUGUUUUAAAGGAGGUACCCUAUACAUUUUUUAUAGUUUUUAUUUUACUGCAAGAAAUAACAUUUCUUAGUUACUAUACAUGAGAUUGGCUAUAUUUUAACACAAAAUUAAUGUUGGUAGACAUGGCUGUUUUAUAUAACGACAACUAAAUACCUUAAUUUACAGAUUAUGUAUGUAGCUACUUUUGAGGUAUUUUAACAUACUAUGAUUAUUUUUCUAUUGU
Molecule: non-coding RNA, 1247 nt
Organism: Paramisgurnus dabryanus
Lineage: Eukaryota; Metazoa; Chordata; Actinopteri; Cypriniformes; Cobitidae
Source: RefSeq, a predicted model, not a curated record